CAUAGCGACUAUCGUGGCAUAUCAAUAAGCGGAGGAAAAGAAACUAACAAGGAUUCCCUUAGUAACGGCGAGUGAAGCGGGAAGAGCUCAAAUUUGAAAUCUUCAAGGUUCUACCUUGACGAAUUGUAGUUUAUAGAAGUGUUUUCUGUUAGUGGAGUGGCAAAAGUUCUUUGGAAUAGGACAUCAUAGAGGGUGAGAAUCCCGUAUUUGGUAAUUCCUCCUAGCGUUGUGAUACACUUUCAACGAGUCGGAUUGUUUGGGAAUGCAGUCCAAAAUGGGUGGUAAAUUUCAUCUAAAGCUAAAUAUUGGCGAGAGACCGAUAGCGAACAAGUACCGUGAGGGAAAGAUGAAAAGAACUUUGAAAAGAGAGUUAAACAGUACGUGAAAUUGUCAAAAGGGAAGCGUUUGACACCAGUGUUGUUUUUCCGAAAAUCAAUUACGAAUGUUUUAUUUUUGAGGAGUUAUGACUUCAUCGGCUUGCUCCUUUCUUUAUGAAACUUUCUUAAUGCACUUUUCGGUUAACAAGUCAACAUCAAUUUCUUUUGUUGUAAAAGGGUAUGAGGAAGGUGGCUUUCUUUUCGGAGAAAGUGUUUAUAGCCUUGUGCCUCUGCAAUCGGAGAGAUUGAGGUCUGCAGCGUAGAUCCUUCGGGGUUAGAUACGUUUGUGCUAAGUUAUAGCUUUUCAUAGACAACUUGUUGACUAUGUUUAGUCUUGUAGCUUACUCGCUUACGCUAUUUUACCUACGCUUAGGAUGUUGAUAUGCAUGACUGAUAU
RNAcentral lists this ribosomal RNA (774 nucleotides) under uncultured Neocallimastigales. RNAcentral's name for it is "partial large subunit ribosomal RNA". It matches the Rfam family "Eukaryotic large subunit ribosomal RNA", at positions 22 to 643 of the family's 3401-position model. The record is from RNAcentral. Lineage: Eukaryota; Fungi; Neocallimastigomycota; Neocallimastigomycetes; Neocallimastigales.